UUGUAAUUUCAACUACAGAAAC
Molecule: transfer RNA, 22 nt
Filed under: Leucogeranus leucogeranus (Siberian crane)
Lineage: Eukaryota; Metazoa; Chordata; Aves; Gruiformes; Gruidae
Description: partial tRNA-Glu
Source: RNAcentral